GUGGGGAAUAUUGGACAAUGGGCGAAAGCCUGAUCCAGCCAUGCCGCGUGUGUGAAGAAGGUCUUCGGAUUGUAAAGCACUUUAAGUUGGGAGGAAGGGCAGUAAGUUAAUACCUUGCUGUUUUGACGUUACCAACAGAAUAAGCACCGGCUAACUUCGUGCCAGCAGCCGCGGUAAUACGAAGGGUGCAAGCGUUAAUCGGAAUUACUGGGCGUAAAGCGCGCGUAGGUGGUUUUGUAAGUUGAAGGUGAAAUCCCCGGGCUCAACCUGGGAACUGCCUCCAAAACUGCAUGACUAGAGUACGGUAGAGGGUAGUGGAAUUUCCUGUGUAGCGGUGAAAUGCGUAGAUAUAGGAAGGAACACCAGUGGCGAAGGCGACUACCUGGACUGAUACUGACACUGAGGUGCGAAAGCGUGGGGAGCAAACAGGAUUAGAAACCCUAGUAGUCC
This 450-nucleotide ribosomal RNA is filed under the name uncultured bacterium. Its description in RNAcentral is "partial 16S ribosomal RNA". It matches the Rfam family "Bacterial small subunit ribosomal RNA", at positions 354 to 796 of the family's 1533-position model. The record is from RNAcentral.